This 495-nucleotide ribosomal RNA is filed under the name uncultured bacterium. RNAcentral describes it as "partial 16S ribosomal RNA". It matches the Rfam family "Bacterial small subunit ribosomal RNA", at positions 28 to 507 of the family's 1533-position model. The record is from RNAcentral.
GAUGAACGCUGGCGGCGUGCCUAAUACAUGCAAGUCGAGCGAACGGACGAGAAGCUUGCUUCUCUGAUGUUAGCGGCGGACGGGUGAGUAACACGUGGAUAACCUACCAAAGACUGGGAUAACUUCGGGAAACCGGAGCUAAUACCGGAUGAUAUUUUGAACCGCAUGGUUCAAAAGUGAAAGACGGUCUUGCUGUCACUUAUAGAUGGAUCCGCGCUGCAUUAGCUAGUUGGUAAGGUAACGGCUUACCAAGGCAACGAUGCAUAGCCGACCUGAGAGGGUGAUCGGCCACACUGGAACUGAGACACGGUCCAGACUCCUACGGGAGGCAGCAGUAGGGAAUCUUCCGCAAUGGGCGAAAGCCUGACGGAGCAACGCCGCGUGAGUGAUGAAGGUCUUCGGAUCGUAAAACUCUGUUAUUAGGGAAGAACAUAUGUGUAAGUAACUGUGCACAUCUUGACGGUACCUAAUCAGAAAGCCACGGCUAACUACGUG